AUGGAAUUUGGGGUGACACUCUGGAUAAAGGAGCUUUGUGAUUUCCAGACAGAUAACACAAACAGAUUGUGGAGCGGCUUGGCAGGAGGGGACUGCCGACCUACGACAACUGCAUUCUGCUCAUUACACUGUGAAACCACCGAUCACCUUUUGACCGGUUGUGGAGGAAUUGCUGCCUGGAGAGGUCUACAAGCCUGCACUCCAACGCUAGGGUGUGAAUUCGGUCCUUGGUGGAUUGAGAAACAUGAGGGGAUUCAACGCCUUUGUCCUGUUGAUAGCCUGGACAAUUUGGAUUUUUUUUUUGAUAUGGUUUCCAGUGAAAAAGCCUAG
Molecule: ribosomal RNA, 330 nt
Filed under: Triticum aestivum (bread wheat)
Lineage: Eukaryota; Viridiplantae; Streptophyta; Magnoliopsida; Poales; Poaceae
Description: partial small subunit ribosomal RNA
Source: RNAcentral